GGCCGCCUGGCGAAAUGGCAUCGCGUCUGACUACGACUUGGCUUAUGUAACGAUGUGUAAUCGGUCACCCACGUGAUCAGGAGAUUGCAGGUUCGAGACCUGCGGCGGUCA
Molecule: non-coding RNA, 111 nt
Organism: Mycena sp. CBHHK59/15
Lineage: Eukaryota; Fungi; Basidiomycota; Agaricomycetes; Agaricales; Mycenaceae
Source: the annotation of a GenBank genome assembly